This 1012-nucleotide long non-coding RNA is filed under the name Equus caballus (horse). RNAcentral's name for it is "lncRNA (ENSECAG00000057196.1)". The record is from RNAcentral. Lineage: Eukaryota; Metazoa; Chordata; Mammalia; Perissodactyla; Equidae.
GACCUCUCUGGGCCAUGUGCGGGGAGUUGAGGGACCUUGUUCUCCCACUGACAACACUUUGAGCUUCCAAGUUGUCAUACUGAGGAUUCACCGUCUCCAGGCGGGGGUUGGGGCUGACCCUUCCACUGUCCCCGUCACUGAUGCCAGCACUUCACACUCAUGUGGACGCAUCGUGGGCCUUCUACAUAUGCUGAGACAGCUGUGGGUCUGUGCCCAACACCCACAGGGCUCCAGAAAAUGCUGAGCAGGAAGAAGGGCUGCGUGGGGAGGCAGGAGGGCAGAGGGGCCUGAGAGCUGGGCAGGCAGCCAGAGCCCUGAAGACUCAUCAGGAGCUGGGACGGAAUGCACGCGUGAGCCGAGCCCAAGCAGACCCUCCAUCGGUCAGGGCUGGCCCUGGGGGAGCCAGUUCCCAGCUCAGGGGCCGGCAAGCAGGCCCACGGACGCUGCCUGGGCCUCCUCCUGCAGACCAGCCCUCCAACUAGCCCGAGACAAAACACUGGAGAGGGCCCACCUCCCGCGGUCAAGGUGAAGGGUAAAGGAGACAGCGUUCGCUCAGGCAGCGCCAGACACACAGCAGGUGCUUCAGCAUUACUGUCACAAACCCAGGCAAAGCCCAGGGCUGAGGCGAGUAACAUCACUUCCAACGGACACGGAGGCGAUCCAUCCCCAGCAACUUGGCCACUGAGUGAGGCAGGUUAGGGCCCUGGCUCCUGUUCUUUUCACAUCAAAUGAGAAAGAUGUGCAGCUUGGCACAUGUUUGUGGCACACCCACAUCCUUGUUGCCAGGAUGGCAUCCCUGCCCUUCAGGAGCAUCCUGGUCAAUGGGGUCUGCUCUGUUCCAGGCAGUGGAGGUGACAGGGGUUGGGAGAUGAGAUGGAUACCCUAAAAGUUAAUAUCUUACCUAUAUAUAAACUGAAUAGCCUAAUAAUUACCUGAUGGCAAAGGAGGUGUGGAAGGCCAUAGUGAAUCCCAGGAGGGCACAAUACUUUGGGGGGGCCAUGAGUUCACGCCA